This 904-nucleotide ribosomal RNA is filed under the name uncultured archaeon. Its description in RNAcentral is "bacterial SSU rRNA". It matches the Rfam family "Archaeal small subunit ribosomal RNA", at positions 21 to 903 of the family's 1478-position model. The record is from RNAcentral.
CCCUACUGCUAUCGGGGUGGGACUAAGACAUGCUAGUCGAGCGCCUUGAGCUAUGGCGAGGCGCGGCGUACAGCUCAGUAACACGUGGCUAACCUACCCUUAGGACGGAGACAACCCCGGGAAACUGGGGCUAAUAUCUGAUAGGUGAGGAGGCCUGGAAUGGUUCUUCGCUGAAAAGGCGUUGAAACCAUGCUUUUCAGCGUCGCCUAAGGAUGGGGCCGCGUCCGAUCAGGUUGUUGGUGGGGUAACGGCUCACCAAGCCUAUAACCGGUACGGGCCGUGAGAGCGGGAGCCCGGAGAUGGGCACUGAGACAAGGGCCCAGGCCCUACGGGGCGCAGCAGUCGCGAAAACUCCGCAAUGCGCGAAAGCGUGACGGGGCUACCCCGAGUGCCGUCCGCUGAGGAUGGCUUUUCCCCGGUGUAAUGAGCCGGGGGAAUAAGGAGAGGGCAAGUCUGGCGUCAGCCGCCGCGGUAAUACCAGCUCUCCGAGUGGUAGGGACGAUUAUUGGGCUUAAAGCGUCCGUAGCCGGCUUAGCAAGUCUUCUGUUAAAUUCAGCGACCUAAUCGUUGAGCCGCGGGAGAUACUACUAGGCUAGGAGGCGGGAGAGGCCGACGGUAUUCUCGGGGUAGGGGUGAAAUCCUAUAAUCCCGGGAGGACCACCAGUGGCGAAGGCUGUCGGCUAGAACGCGCUCGACGGUGAGGGACGAAAGCUGGGGGAGCGAACCGGAUUAGAUACCCGGGUAGUCCCAGCUGUAAACGAUGCGGGCUAGGUGUUGGGGUGGCUACGAGCCACUUCAGUGCCGCAGGGAAGCCAUUAAGCCCGCCGCCUGGGGAGUACGGCCGCAAGGCUGAAACUUAAAGGAAUUGGCGGGGGAGCACCACAAGGCGUGAAGCUUGCGGUUC